This is a long non-coding RNA of Electrophorus electricus (electric eel), 2456 nucleotides long. RefSeq lists it as uncharacterized. The record is from RefSeq and is a predicted model, not a curated record. NCBI's taxonomy places the organism in Eukaryota, Metazoa, Chordata, Actinopteri, Gymnotiformes, Gymnotidae.
UUAACGAAUAAGUCACUGUUGGUCGCGGAUAUAGGGAACAAUUCUAAACCGCUAUUUUGUCUCGUUUAAAUGUUCUCAUAGAAGGUGUUGAUAGCUCUCCAAAGGCAGCAGUGUCUCCUUCUGGACUUGUUCUGCAACCAGGACUGGACCAGGAGGUUGGCAAAUUCCAGGGGUACAGAGUAGACUGGUAUCCCAGGACACACUCGAGCAGGUAACACUCGAGUUCUGGAUGGAAGCAUGAUGCAGGGAGUUCUGGGCGUACUUCACCCAGGGCAGAUCAGAUACAGUGUCCCCUGGCAACCCAAACUAACAGAAGGUGUGCUGGCAGGGGACGGUGGUCCCCAGGGCUGUAGGGAGAGCUGGAAAGGGAAGAAAAUGUGGCAUCUUUCAAAAGGGAUUGGCAAUAAAGCUAAUGGUUGUACUCCCUUCCAAGAUCAGGAGAUCAGUGAUGAAUAUGAUGCAAUAUAGGACCAUGGCCUCUCUGGAGUGGGCAACAAGAACAGUCUGCCAGAGGGAGAGGCGCAUGUCGUGCAGAACGCAGCAUGCCUUACCACAUCCUGCAAGCAGCUGUCUGGUGUGAGUGAAGCCAGGAUGACCAGUCCCCAGAAAGAUGUUGGCCCAUGUGAUGAGAGGGAAGCAGCACUAGAGAAGGACAUACUUCCAGUGGAGAUGACGUGGCAUGGGCUUCGUGAUAGGCUACAGGCAGUUCGAGAAAUAGCCUAGAAGAACCUGUGUUCUUCUCAGACCACCAUGAAGAUUAAAUAUGACAAAAAGGCAGUGAAGAGACAAUUUGAGGUUGGUGAGAAAGUACUCUCGCUUCUCCUCAUUACUGGCUCUUCCCUCAAUGCAAGUUUUUUCUGGUCCUUAAGUGAUCCUGUCAUGUUGAAGCCCUGCCGUGAUCGCACUAUACAUACUGGUUUGGGAUCCCCGAUAGAUUUGCCUUCUUGUACUCCUGUUUCAGUUGUGGUAACCCCUACUGAAUAUGCCCCUGAACAGGAUCAUUUGCAUUUAGGUCAGAACUGUCUGCCUUGUGUUCGUCUGCCUAACUCAGAAGCAUUAACACAUCUCCCUGAAAAGUUGUCUGGAUUGCCCUUAGCAGCCCAUGCUGACCUUAUCAGUCUCAUUCAGAAAUAACCCAUAUUAUUUUCUGACGUUCCCACUCGUACUACCGUCCUUCAGCAUGACAUUGAUGUUGGUUCUCAUUCACCCAUUAGACAGCACCCAUAUCGUACCUAUCCCCAGAAACUUAUAUUGAUAAAUCAAGUAUUUGUUAGAACUCCACCUUGCAAUCCCUAGUGUCAGUCCCCUGGUGUUCCCCAUGCAUUCUGGUGCCAAAACCAGAUUGCACAUACCGCGUCUGCACAGACUACAGAAAAAUAAAUGCAGUUACUGUUUCUGAUUCCUUCCCAAUGCCUAGAAUGGAAGAUUGUGUGAAUAAGAUUGGUUCAGCUAGAUUUGUAAGUAAGCUUGAUUUGCUUAAGGGAUACUGGCAAGUUUCGUUAACCUCUUAUGUAUUUUACAUUUCGGCAUUUGCUACCCCUGACUCUUUCCUACAAUAUACAGUAAUGCCUUUCAUUCUUAAAAAUGUCCCUUCUACCUUUCAGCGUUUGAUGACUAUGGUUUUUGGUGACAUGCCUAACUAUGAAGUCUAUUUGGAUGAUGUGGUUGUGUAUACCAGCACUUGGGAACAACAUGUACAGUUGCUUGAUAUUGUUUUUAAGAAGUUACUGGAUGCCGCCCUUGUUCUUAAGUUCGAAAAAUUUGAUUUUGCUAAGAGUGAGGUUGCCUACUUGGGGAAACUAGUGGGUUGUGGUAGUGUGUGUCCCCUUGAUGCCAAAGUACAAGCAAUCAAGUCUUUUCCUCCCCCAGAGAUGAAAAGACAACUCCGAUGCUUUUUGGGCAUGGCAGGUUUUUAUUGUUGUUUUUGUAGGAAUUUUUUGGUGUUUUUACCCUUCACAAAUUUGCUUCGUAACACAACCCCUUUUGAAUGGUCACAACCCUGUCAAGAUGCAUUUGAUUCAGUGAAAGCGCUCCUGUUCUAGCAAACCCUGAUUUUACUCAUCCUUUUACACUUGAGGUAGAUGUCAGUGGUAGUGGAACCAGUGCUUCCCUCCUAGAAGAGGACACACAAGACCUAGAUCACCCUAUUUUUAUUUAUUGUUCUAGAAAGUUCAUGAAACACCAGCUGGCCUACAGCAAUAUUGAUAAGGAAGCCCUUGCACUCUUUCUAGCGUUGCAACAUUUUGAGGUGUAACUUGGUGGUAGUCCGGACCCCAUCACCAUAUACACUGAUCACAAUCCGCUCGUGUGCUAACAUGGCUAAUGCUAAUCAGGGCUUAAUGCAUUGGUCUCUGAUCAUCCAAGGGUUUAAUAUUGACAUCAAACAUAAAAAAAGGUUAAGAUGUUGAUGAUUUCGACUUGUUUUGUUUUUUGUGUGCUGGAACUUCCUGUGUAAG